UACGCAUAGUAAUUAGGAGCACUAGAAAAAGAUAAAUAUAAAAAAUUCUUUAAAAUAGAAACUUUCAACUGUCAAUUCACUAGACUCUAAUCAUGAUUCAUGAUCAAUACCUAUUUAAAUUCUUAAACUAACCCAAAUUUAUGAAAAUAGCAUAAGGUAACCCUUAAAGGAAUGGCUAAAAUAUCCUCCCUCACCAUUACAAAAAAUAGCACAAAAUAAACACCUAAACUUAAAUCUGAAGUAAUCCUUUAAAUCUAUGUAUAAAUUACCCACCCUACUACUAUGAAAAUAAAAUAAAUCAACCCCA
RNAcentral lists this long non-coding RNA (307 nucleotides) under Sorghum bicolor (sorghum). Its description in RNAcentral is "long non-coding RNA (SBIC_LNC015539)". The record is from RNAcentral. Lineage: Eukaryota; Viridiplantae; Streptophyta; Magnoliopsida; Poales; Poaceae.